RNAcentral lists this long non-coding RNA (413 nucleotides) under Bos indicus x Bos taurus (hybrid cattle). RNAcentral describes it as "lncRNA (ENSBIXG00000022873.1)". Lineage: Eukaryota; Metazoa; Chordata; Mammalia; Artiodactyla; Bovidae. The record is from RNAcentral.
GAUCUCUAGAGACCAGUCCUAAAACAAACAUGGUGGACUCCUAAAGACGAACAGGAAAUCCAGCGUUUAACCUGGUGAUCAAAUCCCUGCCCAGGUCUCCAAUAUUCAUUAACCUUGAGUUCAGGCACCACUGCACUAAGAGACAUUAGGAAACUUCUGUCCUGCUGGAAAUUCUGAGAUAAGCCAGAACUGGAAAGAACAUUGUGAGAGAACCUAACAGACAACUCUAAAGAAGAAAAUCAGCUUUCACAAUUGAACUACCAAGCCCAGGUCGCUGCUGCUGCUAAGUCGCUUCAGUUUAGUUCAGUUCCGUUCAGUUCAGUAGCUCAGUUGUGUCCGACUUUUUGCGACCCCAUGAAUCGCAGCAUGCCAGGCCUCCCUGUCUAUCACCAACUCCCGGAGUUCACUCAGAC